RNAcentral lists this ribosomal RNA (211 nucleotides) under uncultured bacterium. RNAcentral describes it as "partial 16S ribosomal RNA". It matches the Rfam family "Bacterial small subunit ribosomal RNA", at positions 1290 to 1500 of the family's 1533-position model. The record is from RNAcentral.
AGUUCGGAUUGUAGUCUGCAACUCGAGUACAUGAAGCUGGAAUCGCUAGUAAUCGCAAAUCAGAAUGUUGCGGUGAAUACGUUCCCGGGCCUUGUACACACCGCCCGUCACACCAUGGGAGUUGGAAGCACCCGAAGUCGAUGACCUAACCGCGAGGGAGGAGUCGCCGAAGGUGAAGCCAGUGACUGGGGUGAAGUCGUAACAAGGUACC